AAUACACAAAUAAAUCUGUUGGGCUCCUCAAAUUGAUGGUGAUUUGGAGAAAAUAAAGAUAAAUACUUUUAUUCUGUUCAAGUUGGCAUCCCUAUUGCUCGCUCGAAGGCCACAUGGCCCACACCUAUUUAAGCAGUCCACGGUGCUGCGCCCUCUGGAUAGUUACAAACACUCCUAAUAGAUGAAUUUCAUUGAUAAAUUGGAACAUCUGGUGGGGUUGCUAGCACAGAGGUGCAAGUACAAAUUCAUAGUGAUUGAGUUCAGGGCUGAUCUGCGUUAGGUUAAAGUUAAAGAAAAGUUGUCCUAAUAACUCAAUUGGAAGAUCAGAUC
RNAcentral lists this small RNA (330 nucleotides) under Histoplasma capsulatum. RNAcentral describes it as "hypothetical RNA". RNAcentral also lists the same sequence under 1 other name. The record is from RNAcentral. Lineage: Eukaryota; Fungi; Ascomycota; Eurotiomycetes; Onygenales; Ajellomycetaceae.